Molecule: long non-coding RNA, 1084 nt
Filed under: Homo sapiens (human)
Lineage: Eukaryota; Metazoa; Chordata; Mammalia; Primates; Hominidae
Description: HSALNT0310648
Source: RNAcentral
CCAACGUCAGGCACCCAGAAAAGCUCCAGGCAGAAGUCACGAAUUUCACAGCCCACUGGGACCAAAGAGGUGAUUUAAGAGAGGAAAGUGGGCAGGGUGGAAGACAGCAUGAAGAGGUGGGAACCCAAGAGAAUGCAGGCCCCCCUGAAAUACAGUGCUGUGAUGGAGUGGACUUCAGAGGGCCGAUUAUACACAUCUCUUCCCAAAGCUCUUUUCGGUGUCCUCAUCUUGGUAUCACCAGAUGCUGAGCCUAUGGAAUUAAAAUAGAGGUCUCCUAAAAAAGAAGAAGAAUCAGACUGGCAUCAGAUGAUCCAGAAAAAAUGGAGGGAGAAGACAACAGAGCAAGACCUUCAAAGUUAUGAAAGGACUACUAUAUCCAGUCAAACUGUCAAUUAAAUAAGAAAACAAAAAUAACCUAUUUUGAGACAUGUGAAAACUGCAGAGGUUUACCUCUCAUGCAGCCCUUUCCAUAAAUUUUUUUGAGGAUAUACUCCAGUAAAAUAAAGAGGAAGAUGUAGAUUGUACAAAAUCAUAGAUCUACCAUAACUCAGAAAAGAUGCCUCUGAUCACCCAUUCUAGGUCAAUUCUGACCUUUCUUUAUUACACCACCUUGGUCAUUUCCUUCUUAGGCUUAUAAAAAUCUAUAUUUAUUUCCUGUAAGUUUAUUUAAAAUGUAUUUCUUAACUUGCUUAUUCUUGGCCUCACCCAUUAGAAGGUAAGCUCCAUAAAAGGUGACUAUGCUGUAUCAAGGAAUCUUGUAUAGUGUCUGGUAUUUAGGUAACAGACAAUAAAUAUUAAAGAAUGAAUAGCAUAUCUCUAUUUUUUAACUUGAGUUAAACCAAACUCCAUAGGUGAGACUUCUAAGAGCCUUUAAAAUGCUUUUUGAAUUUUCAUAAUGGAGGCAUAGUAAGAAUUAUAGCCUAAACAUAGAAUCCUGGUAGCAUCUUAGAUGGUGGUUAAUGCUUUGUGUAACACACUCUGGCACUUUUAAAAUUGUAAAUCAGUUUAAUUUUUAUCACAAAUGUCCAACACUUUUCUCUUAUGAAGAAGUAAGAGUCAUAAAUCAAUUGAGAGAUUUCUCCCA